This 4021-nucleotide long non-coding RNA is filed under the name Gossypium barbadense (sea-island cotton). Its description in RNAcentral is "long non-coding RNA (GBAR_LNC019086)". Lineage: Eukaryota; Viridiplantae; Streptophyta; Magnoliopsida; Malvales; Malvaceae. The record is from RNAcentral.
CAUAUCUGAAGAGGGAGCCGGGGAAGAGAAUUUAUGAGGCAUUUUCCCUUACACACUUGAGAGUGUUUUGAACAAUGAGACUGUGGAAGAGAUCCCUGUAUUUUUUAGACCUAAUUCAGAGUAAUGUCCAAAACUCGUUUAUUGCUCUAAGCCUAGGAGCAAUAAGAAUCCUUUUGUGAGAUAGGCUUAUGUCCAACAUAUUUAUUUCAAUAAAAUGCAUCUUUGUUUCUCACUUCGAGCAAAUAUUCUUUUAUUGUUUCUAUUUCAUUCAUAAUCAUACUAUACAGAUAAAUAUUCUUCGAUUCUUUUGUUCUUUGGAUCUUCCUUCGUCCCUAUAAUAGAUCUCUAGAUAUCUAUGAUAUGAGUGACCCUGCUAUUGACUCAGAACCCCCUUUUGAGCAAAAUAUGUGUCUAGAGGAACCACAAGACUUUGUAGAUGACCGAGACUAUAACUUAUCUCCUGAUCUGUUAAGGAUGGUAGAAAAAAAUGAGAAAUAUAUCCUACCUUACAAAGAAUCAAUAAAAUCCAUGGUCUUUCUCUAUGUGGGGCAUGGAUGUCAUUAGGCUGAUCUCGCCAAAAGCUUCUGGUGGUCAUCAAUUCAUCUUUGUGGUCGUCGAUUACUUCACUAAGUGGAUGAAGCUGCUUCAUAUGCCAAAGUCACAAAGUCGACAGUCAGUAAAUUUUUGAAAAAAAGAAAUCAUAUGUCGGUAUAAAAUGCCAAAAAAGAUCAUAUCUGACAAUGCACUAAAUUUGAACAACAAUACGAUAUAAGAAGCUUGCAGUCUAUUAGAGAUUAACACCAUAUUACCACAAAAUGAACGGUACAGUAGAGGCAAAAAAAAUCUACUAGGGCAACGCCUUUCUCAUUAGUUUAUGGAUGGAGGUGGUUUUGCUCAUUGAAGUCGAGGUUCCUUCUCUCCGAGUUUUAUUAGAGUUUAAGUUGGAUGAAGCAGAAUAAAUUUAAUCCCGAUAUGACCAGCUAAACUUGCUAGAAGAAAAGAGGCCUUAUUUGGAAAAGCAUCGAUAUUGACUAAGAUGGAUGGCAAGAACCUUCCGAACCCUGUGAAUUCUGAUUCAAGCAAAACAUACUUCACUUUUUUUAAAAAAAGAAAAAAUGAAAAGAAAAAAGAAAAAAGAAAAGAAAAGAAAAAGAAAAACAAAUAAAAGAAAAAUAAAAAAGAUAGGCUAAGGUGAAAACCCGCAAAAGGGCACCUUGAGACCAAAAGGGUUUUGAGUUGAAAACCCAGGAAUGGGCAAUUCAAAUUUUUGAUCAAAGGUGGGGCAUGUGGUCUUCUUGUCCUCUCCGAAUUAACAAGGAGGGGUGCUACAUCUUAGGGCAUCAACAAAGUCUUCUAGGACAUUUAAACACGUAUCAAGUUCAAAGGGUCCUCGAGAAGUUUUGUGCAGAGAAGCUCAUGCUACGAUAUUUAGGGCAUCUAUUUUCAUCUUAUUCAUUUCAUAUCUUAGCAAAAUUUUCUAUCUUGAUUAAUUUAUUCAUUUUAAGCUUUGCUCUCAAUAAAAUUUCAUCUUGUCCAUUGUGAUAAUUUUUUCAAGCAUUUUUCAUUGAAAUAGCGAUUAAUGGACUGAUAAUAUUCAAGCAAAAAGAGUUCUGCAUAUUACUCUAAAAGCUUCUAAAUACUACGAGGACCUGAAAAAAGACCAUUUGUCAGGACUAACGAAACAUAAGGGUUGGAAACAUUUGAGAAAGAAUAGUCUAAAUUGUGACUAUUUCUUUGGAUUUUCUGUUAAAGAUACCAGCUGAACAAGAAGGCAUGGUAACACAUUAGUGAUAGAACCUUGAUGAACAACGAGCAGUGUCAACCUAAGCAUUAAAAAUGGAUCAUUGUCGUGACAUAUGCAUUCAUGCAAAUAUCAUUCAUACACAUCUAGUUAGGAGCAUUUGAUUCAUUCUAAUCAUGACAUCCUAAUCACUAGGCAUAAAUAAGUCCAUGAAAUGGAUUCUACAGGUCAUGUUACCCAGAGAAUGGUGUAACAGGUCAAUGAAACCAUUAAUCCUAUACCCCUAAAGUUGUAGUGGGAUGGAUUGAAGAUUAUAACAAACCUUAUCUCCCUGAAGUUGUAGUGGAGCAGGUUGAAGAUACCAAUCUUAUCUCCCUGAAGUUGCAGUGGAGCAGAUUGAAGCUACUAAUCCUAUCUCCCUAAAGUUGCAGUGGAGAGAAUUAAAACAAUGAAUCCUAUACCUCUGAGGUUGCAGUAGGUUAGAUUAAAUCUACCAUAGCAAGUCUUAUCUCCCUAAAGUUGCAGUGGAGCAGACUGAAGAUAGUGAAUCUUAUUUCCCUAAAGUUGUAGUGGAACAGAUUGAAGCUAUAAAUUACAGAUAUUAUCUCUCUGAAGUUGCAAUAGAGCAGAUCAUAUCAAACCUUAUCUCCCUGAAGUUGCAGUGGAGCAGGUUGAAGAUAACAAUCUUAUCUCUUUGAAGUUGCAGUGGAGCAGAUUGAAGUUACUAAUCCUAUCUCCCUGAAGUUGCAGUGGAGCAGAUUAAAAUAAUGAAUCAUAUACCUCUGAGGUUGCAGUAGGUCAGAUUAAAUCUACCAUAGCAAGUCUUAUCUCCCUGAAGUUGCAGUGGAGCAGACUAAAAUCGCAAGUCUCAUCUCCCUAAAGUGGCAGUAGGUUAGAACAAGGCUACUUGAAGAAGAUGAGCACCAAGAAGUCAAGAUUCGAUGAGACCGGGUAAAAUUGGUCCUUCUUAAAAGUCUAUACUCCAUUCUCGUUACAUGACAACGAUCAAAGUGGGGCAGCUGUAAUAGCCCAUUUUUGCCCGAGCCCAAAACUAAAACCCAAAAUAAAAAUUAUAAUCCAUCAGAGCCCAAUUCAGACUUAAAUUAACCCAUUACAUAUCAAGCCCAAACCCUAAACCCAAACUAAACCCUAGCCCACAAAACUUAAAAAAUUUUCAGCCAAAAGAAACCCUAGGUAGGCCACUCUUAGGCCUGCUCCUGGCCACCGCACACCAGCCACCUCCACACCCGCAACACGCGUCUGACACCUGCAAAAUGAAGAACUACACGCAACAGCAAGAAAGCCAAUAGCAAGAGGACAAAAAAAAAUAGAAAUUAAAGGAUUGUAACUUGGCUAUAAAAGCCAAAGUAUUCUCGUUGUAAUUUUUUUACGCACACUAGUAAAUCAAAAAAGCAAGAUAGAAGUUUUAAAAGGUAUUGAUUUGUGUCGAAACCAUUUUUUAUUUUGAAAAAAUGGGGUCGACUUUUAAAACAAAAAAAUGUAGUCGCCACCGAUAUUUUAUUGAGGUGUGACCGGAUCACCUUGAAAAUAAUUUCAGGUCUACGAAUUUUGAGAAAAUAGGUUCGGGAGUCAGUUACGCAUGAGGAAGGGUUAGCACCCUCGUAACGCCCAAAAUUGGUACCUAAUUGAUUAUUAAUGUCUUAUAGUCGAAUGUCAUAAAUUUGAAAUGAUUAAAAAUGAUCCCCCUUUAUUAAUAACAUAUCUUAAAAUAGUACUUGGAUAAAUUUAAACGAAUGUAAAAAAGCCUUCUCAUCCUGAGACGACAAAAUGUCGUAUCCCGUAAGUUAGGAUGCAACAUUUGAAUUCCCGAGCGUAAGCUAAAAAUUAUUUAUUGAAACUUUGUAUAUUUGAAAACUAAGAUAUUUAGACGUUUUAGUUCAACGGGAAAGAUCGAAACCCCGUAAGUUAGAGCACGAUUUAUCAUCGUUCCAAAGACAACAUAUUGCAAACUUCAUUUUCCUUUUUUUACGAAAUUGGAUCAAAGCGAAGGUUUAAUGCAAUAUUAAAAAUGAUAUAAAUUUGAUUUAUUCGAAAUUAAAAGAAAUGAAAUAAUCAAAUUAACUAUGAUGUAAUGUUCAGAACUGAAAAGCAAAUGUAUGAACAUAGAAUAAUAUACAUGAGCAGAAUACUAAACAAUAUGCUCGUACAAACCCCAAACACAUAAUAAUUAUCGAGCUCGAAAUAAUAUAUAAAACAAACUUAAUUCCAAAGAAGGGGUACAUAAAUAAAACAACAUGAAGUAAGUAAUAGGCUAAAAAA